GAGACAGCAGUAGCCGCGGGAAUACAGAGGGUGCGAGCGUUAAUCGGAUUUACUGGGCGUAAAGCGUGCGUAGGCGGCUUUUUAAGUCGGAUGUGAAAUCCCUGAGCUUAACUUAGGAAUUGCAUUCGAUACUGGGAAGCUAGAGUAUGGGAGAGGAUGGUAGAAUUCCAGGUGUAGCGGUGAAAUGCGUAGAGAUCUGGAGGAAUACCGAUGGCGAAGGCAGCCAUCUGGCCUAAUACUGACGCUGAGGUACGAAAGCAUGGGGAGCAAACAGGAUUAGAGACCCCCGUAGUCCCUGUCUCUUAUAC
This 308-nucleotide ribosomal RNA is filed under the name uncultured bacterium. RNAcentral's name for it is "partial 16S ribosomal RNA". It matches the Rfam family "Bacterial small subunit ribosomal RNA", at positions 505 to 807 of the family's 1533-position model. The record is from RNAcentral.